RNAcentral lists this ribosomal RNA (466 nucleotides) under uncultured bacterium. RNAcentral's name for it is "partial 16S ribosomal RNA". It matches the Rfam family "Bacterial small subunit ribosomal RNA", at positions 28 to 507 of the family's 1533-position model. The record is from RNAcentral.
GACGAACGCUGGCGGCGCGCCUAACACAUGCAAGUCGAACGAGCGAGAGAGAGCUUGCUUUCUCGAGCGAGUGGCGAACGGGUGAGUAACGCGUGAGGAACCUGCCUCAAAGAGGGGGACAACAGUUGGAAACGACUGCUAAUACCGCAUAAGCCCACGGCUCGGCAUCGAGCAGGGGGAAAAGGAGCCAUCCGCUUUGAGAUGGCCUCGCGUCCGAUUAGCUAGUUGGUGGGGUAACGGCCCACCAAGGCGACGAUCGGUAGCCGGACUGAGAGGUUGAACGGCCACAUUGGGACUGAGACACGGCCCAGACUCCUACGGGAGGCAGCAGUGGGGAAUAUUGCACAAUGGGGGAAACCCUGAUGCAGCGACGCCGCGUGGAGGAAGAAGGUCUUCGGAUUGUAAACUCCUGUUGUUGGGGAAGAUAAUGACGGUACCCAACAAGGAAGUGACGGCUAACUACGUG